Molecule: long non-coding RNA, 253 nt
Organism: Thalassophryne amazonica
Lineage: Eukaryota; Metazoa; Chordata; Actinopteri; Batrachoidiformes; Batrachoididae
Exons: 2
Source: RefSeq, a predicted model, not a curated record
CACUCCACACACCAACUUGUGGGCCUCAAACUCCACAGGUAAACACAUCUGCUGUGGAGAGUUGUGGGUGUCCUGAGUGCCAAGACCAAGCCGACCUUCAGAGGAGAGGAACACAGAGCGCAAAACACAUUCAAAAGGCAAACACUUCUCUUUCAUUGGUGACAGCAAGCACAUGGGAGGCGCCACAUGCCACCUGAAUCAGCUCAUAGCCGAGGAGUGCCUCCACUAUCUUGGGCUGAGUUGAAAAACAGAG